GCUGAAAAGACGUAAAGGAAGCAGUCACCCCAGUGGUGUUUGUGGAGAGGUAUUCCUUCAGAAAUGGAGAAGACAGAAAGCUGCAGAGGCAGGAUUGUUUGCAGAUAAUGCUGUUCUUCUUUUUCAGAAGUUUUUGGGGAGCCAACCCUCACAAACCUUCCUAAAAACUAAAAGAGCUAUUACUGAGUCUCAGCGACUCUUGCCACGAUCAGCUCUUCCCAGAAGAGAAGGAAGACCAAGGAAAUGAUUUGCUCAGGAUGAGGAAUGAAGAUGGUCAUCUUGUGCUCAAGCAAACAGAAGUCCACUGGUAUGUGUGUGUUAUGUGUUACAGGACUUUAUGAUGAUCUCUCACAGGACUGGUCAUGUCAGCCGUAAUUAUUCUUUCCAAUGUUUUUAUAUUUAUUUUAUUUUAUUUGAUACAGCUAUAAUAAUUAUAGCAUGUUAGCAAAGUUUGACUGGAACAUU
This is a long non-coding RNA of Carassius gibelio (silver crucian carp), 465 nucleotides long. RefSeq lists it as uncharacterized. The transcript is spliced from 3 exons. The record is from RefSeq and is a predicted model, not a curated record. NCBI's taxonomy places the organism in Eukaryota, Metazoa, Chordata, Actinopteri, Cypriniformes, Cyprinidae.